This 1268-nucleotide ribosomal RNA is filed under the name Staphylococcus aureus. Its description in RNAcentral is "partial 23S ribosomal RNA". It matches the Rfam family "Bacterial large subunit ribosomal RNA", at positions 1580 to 2851 of the family's 2925-position model. Lineage: Bacteria; Bacillati; Bacillota; Bacilli; Caryophanales; Staphylococcaceae. The record is from RNAcentral.
GUGUCUUCGAGUCGUUGAUUUCACACUGCCGAGAAAAGCCUCUAGAUAGAAAAUAGGUGCCCGUACCGCAAACCGACACAGGUAGUCAAGAUGAGAAUUCUAAGGUGAGCGAGCGAACUCUCGUUAAGGAACUCGGCAAAAUGACCCCGUAACUUCGGGAGAAGGGGUGCUCUUUAGGGUUAACGCCCAGAAGAGCCGCAGUGAAUAGGCCCAAGCGACUGUUUAUCAAAAACACAGGUCUCUGCUAAACCGUAAGGUGAUGUAUAGGGGCUGACGCCUGCCCGGUGCUGGAAGGUUAAGAGGAGUGGUUAGCUUCUGCGAAGCUACGAAUCGAAGCCCCAGUAAACGGCGGCCGUAACUAUAACGGUCCUAAGGUAGCGAAAUUCCUUGUCGGGUAAGUUCCGACCCGCACGAAAGGCGUAACGAUUUGGGCACUGUCUCAACGAGAGACUCGGUGAAAUCAUAGUACCUGUGAAGAUGCAGGUUACCCGCGACAGGACGGAAAGACCCCGUGGAGCUUUACUGUAGCCUGAUAUUGAAAUUCGGCACAGCUUGUACAGGAUAGGUAGGAGCCUUUGAAACGUGAGCGCUAGCUUACGUGGAGGCGCUGGUGGGAUACUACCCUAGCUGUGUUGGCUUUCUAACCCGCACCACUUAUCGUGGUGGGAGACAGUGUCAGGCGGGCAGUUUGACUGGGGCGGUCGCCUCCUAAAAGGUAACGGAGGCGCUCAAAGGUUCCCUCAGAAUGGUUGGAAAUCAUUCAUAGAGUGUAAAGGCAUAAGGGAGCUUGACUGCGAGACCUACAAGUCGAGCAGGGUCGAAAGACGGACUUAGUGAUCCGGUGGUUCCGCAUGGAAGGGCCAUCGCUCAACGGAUAAAAGCUACCCCGGGGAUAACAGGCUUAUCUCCCCCAAGAGUUCACAUCGACGGGGAGGUUUGGCACCUCGAUGUCGGCUCAUCGCAUCCUGGGGCUGUAGUCGGUCCCAAGGGUUGGGCUGUUCGCCCAUUAAAGCGGUACGCGAGCUGGGUUCAGAACGUCGUGAGACAGUUCGGUCCCUAUCCGUCGUGGGCGUAGGAAAUUUGAGAGGAGCUGUCCUUAGUACGAGAGGACCGGGAUGGACAUACCUCUGGUGUACCAGUUGUCGUGCCAACGGCAUAGCUGGGUAGCUAUGUGUGGACGGGAUAAGUGCUGAAAGCAUCUAAGCAUGAAGCCCCCCUCAAGAUGAGAUUUCCCAACUUCGGUUAUAAGAUCCCUCAAAGAUGAUGAG